This 771-nucleotide ribosomal RNA is filed under the name uncultured bacterium. Its description in RNAcentral is "bacterial SSU rRNA". It matches the Rfam family "Bacterial small subunit ribosomal RNA", at positions 8 to 796 of the family's 1533-position model. The record is from RNAcentral.
AGAGUUUGAUCAUGGCUCAGGACGAACGCUGGCGGCGUGCUUAACACAUGCAAGUCGAGCGGAAAGGCCCUUCGGGGUACUCGAGCGGCGAACGGGUGAGUAACACGUGAGGAACCUGCCCUGGACUUUGGGAUAACCCUCGGAAACGGGGGCUAAUACCGAAUACGACACUUCACCGCAUGGUGUGGGUGUGGAAAGUUUUUCGGUCUGGGAUGGUCUCGCGGCCUAUCAGCUUGUUGGUGGGGUAAUGGCCUACCAAGGCGACGACGGGUAGCCGGCCUGAGAGGGCGACCGGCCACACUGGGACUGAGACACGGCCCAGACUCCUACGGGAGGCAGCAGUGGGGAAUAUUGCACAAUGGGCGGAAGCCUGAUGCAGCGACGCCGCGUGAGGGAUGACGGCCUUCGGGUUGUAAACCUCUUUCAGCAGGGACGAAGCGAAAGUGACGGUACCUGCAGAAGAAGCGCCGGCCAACUACGUGCCAGCAGCCGCGGUAAGACGUAGGGCGCGAGCGUUGUCCGGAUUUAUUGGGCGUAAAGAGCUCGUAGGCGGCUUGUCGCGUCGACUGUGAAAACCCGCGGCUCAACUGCGGGCCUGCAGCCGAUACGGGCAGGCUAGAGUUCGGUAGGGGAGACUGGAAUUCCUGGUGUAGCGGUGAAAUGCGCAGAUAUCAGGAGGAACACCGGUGGCGAAGGCGGGUCUCUGGGCCGAUACUGACGCUGAGGAGCGAAAGCGUGGGGAGCGAACAGGAUUAGAUACCCUAGUAGUCC